Molecule: ribosomal RNA, 534 nt
Filed under: Triticum aestivum (bread wheat)
Lineage: Eukaryota; Viridiplantae; Streptophyta; Magnoliopsida; Poales; Poaceae
Description: partial small subunit ribosomal RNA
Source: RNAcentral
AUGAAGAGGAAGAGAGGCGAGCCUGAGCUGGAGUACGGGGCCUCGUCCGGGGUGGAUGAGAGGUCCAAAGAGAGCAGCGACAAGAUGCAGGGCCAGCUCCUAGCCGCUGCGCGCGGCGCCGACGGGGGCAAUGCCAAGUUCGCGUGGUAUGGCGCUCCAUCGGUGGAUGUGGCCGCGGCGGCGGUGGAGUACGGGUUCGGCAGGAUGAACAACCGGGUCCUUUUCCAUCGCGCGCACGGCGACGACGUCCACCUCUCGCCGCCUCGGUCUCCUUAUGCCAGUGCAAUGCUAGCAAAUGCAGAUGAGAACGGCGAGGCGCAUAUCAUGUUGUGCCGUGUUCUGUUGGGCCGGCCAGAGGCCAUCCCGGCCGGGUCCUCCAAGCUCCACCCCAGCAGUGACAAUUACGACAGUGCCAUCGACAACAUGCAGAAUCCACAGUGGUAUGUUGUUUGGGGCAAGGACAUGAACAUGAGGAUCCUCCCAGAGUACGUCGUCAGCUUCAAGUGUCCCAACCUCCAUCAGAUGCAAGGUUAG